UCGUCCUUAGACCCAUUCACAUUUGGAGACCCAGACACAUUAGGAACCCUCUUUCCCUUGGUGUAGUUCCCAGAUUAGAUCCACACAGCCAACAUAUUUAUGCUUCUUCUCUUCAUGGUUGCUUUUGUUCGAUCUUAGAGUUCUGAUUCGUGCUUCUCUUCGUGGUUGCUUUUGUUUAAUGUUGGAGUUUUCGGCCAAAUCGCGUUGUCGGGUAAGCUUCAUCGUCCCAAAUUUGGAGCAAUCAGAGGGUUCAAAGCUUGUUCAGACUCACACAUUGGUGAGGAAAUCAGAAAGUAAUGGAUCUGAGGAAGAGAUGGAGUGAUGGAGAUCGGUGGCUAAAGUCGGCCAAUGGGCAGCAAAAAAGAUUACGUAUGUGCAUGAUCAAACAUCAUAGAAGAAGAUUCGCGCAUUGGGGGUGUUGUUGAUCAGUCUACUGUUGGUAGGAUCAACAAGGUCUUGCAACACCUCUAAGAGAUGAUGGAGGACAACUUGUCUGCAUAGAGAGAUUAAGAACUAAAGAUAUAACACAUAGAGUAGAACUGAAGAAUUAUUGGCAGGAAAAAAUAAGAGUAGCUUUGUAUUUUCAGUAAGCAGCAAUUCAUUUCAUUGACUGUAUGAGUAAACCAUCUCAGUAUUGUCUUAUUCAUCUAAACUUCGUCUUCCUUCUCAAAUUCAUGUUCUUCUCUGUAUUACCCAUAACUCUCUUUUAUGAAACAUCAACCCUAAAUCCCCUACUCACCAUAUAGACCGAAGCACUUCCAAGUUCCAACCCAUUCAUUGUUCCUCUCAUAUGUAUCAGAAGCAUAGAAAGCAACACAGAUGAAAGUCCUUGCCCAUAGACGUUUUUCGCAAAUGGGUUUUCUUUGAUUGUGAUUUCUCCAGUUACAAAGGGUUUUAUUAAAUCUUUGGAGGUCUCUUGGGGAACUUUCUGAGUGGCUUCAGCUGAUGAGCAAGUUGAAUUAGUGGAGAUUUCAAAUUCUGAGGUCCCUGCAAUGCGGUUUUUUCACUUGACGAUGAUCAGGCAGCUAGAGGGGUUGUAACUCACAGCAGGUUAUCUGGAGUGACGGUGAUGCCAUUAUGCAAUCAAGAGAGGAUACUGCUAACAAGGUGUUGCAAGAAACCGGUGCAGUUCUUGUUCAUCCAUAUAAUGAUGGGCGGGUCAUAAGUGGGCAGGGUACCAUAUCAUUGGAGCUUUUAGAGCAAGUCCCGCAAAUAGACACUAUAAUAGUUCCUAAGUGGCGAAGGUUUGAUAUCUGGGGUUGCAUUGGCUGCCAAGUUUAUCAACCCUGCUAUUUGAGUAUUGGCUGCUGAACUAAUGGGAGAACCUACUUGCUUAGAUUUUGUACCAUGGAAAAUGAGGUUCAAGAAGUGUGAAGAACAUCCGGAAGGUUCAUCUUCAAAAUCUCAAAGUUCACAAAAACAAAAUACUGAGAAUACUAAAUCAUCCCAACCAGCUAUGAAGAAAAGACGGGACCCCACACGAUGCAAGGAUAUCUUAGACAUAACAACCCUAAUACCAUUAAGGUACAUAUGGAGAUCUUAUAUAGUUUGCAUAAUUAGACAACAUUCAAUAUGAAGGAGAAAAAAUGAUUUCUUCUAUCUUUAUUUUUGUACUAAACAACCAUAAUUGUUAAUUUUAGUUUAGAGUCAAUAAGUAUGGACAGCUGACAGGAAAUGGAAGUACCAAAUAUGGUAAUUACUUGGGAGCAAUUUCCCGCAAUAGUUGAUUAGCUCCUUUGUGCUACAAAACAUGGUAGGAGAUGCCUAAUCGGCUUAAAGAAGAUAUGUGGACCAUAGUAAAGGUAAAACCCUUCAAUGACAUGAAAAUAAUUUUCAUGGAGAAAGUUGAUUAUCAUGCAGCAAUUAUCACAUUUUCAAGGGCAGUAUGAUGUGGGAAUCAUUUCAAAACAGUGGACAUUAUCCUCUAUCGGAACAAAAUGGAGGGGGUACAAGUGUGAACUAAAAAGUGCAUACUACUUGAUUCGGGAUACAGAUGCGAAAAGAUUGGCUAACCCACCACCUGAAGUUAUGAAGUACCAUUGGGAAUUUUUGGUUAAGCAUUGGGGUACGGCUAAGGCGAAUGAGGACAGCGAAAAAAACAAGGAACGUUGUGGGAAGCAAACAAUGCUUCAUACUACAGGGACAAAAAGUUUUGCACAUGUUCCUGCUAACGUUAGUCGAAGUUUUGGCAAUAUUAAUUAUUUCAAUUCUUAUGUGGUUGAAUGAUUAUAAAUGUUAGUGGUAAAUAAUAUUUAUCACAAUGUGUAUGUUUCUUUUAUAAAUUGAGGAAAAAGAAGGUAUUAAGCUUUCUCGUGCAUAUUUAUUCAUUCGUACAAAUGUAAACAAGGAUUACAAGGCUACUCAUGCUGCUGCUCAAGAGAUGAUUCUAAGUUUUCAAAA
Molecule: long non-coding RNA, 2400 nt
Organism: Cornus florida
Lineage: Eukaryota; Viridiplantae; Streptophyta; Magnoliopsida; Cornales; Cornaceae
Exons: 12
Source: RefSeq, a predicted model, not a curated record